Homo sapiens (human) is the source of this 1077-nucleotide long non-coding RNA. The record is from Ensembl. Lineage: Eukaryota; Metazoa; Chordata; Mammalia; Primates; Hominidae.
AGAUGCCCUUUGACCCAUAUCUUCACCUGCUGAAUCGCCCACACUGUUAAAUGGCAAGAUGGUAUGCCUGCCUUGGAUGCUUUAUCAGAGUUCUUGAGUGCAAACAACAAAAAUGGAUUCUGCUUGAUUUAUGAAGAAAACAAAUUCAUUGAAAGGCCACUGAGUAGCUUACAGAAUCACAAGAAAGGUGGCAAAACCAGUUGUGGACAAUAAGAAAAAACAAAGAGAGGUUCCAUAGCCAGACUCCAGCCAGGGUCAUCUCACAAGGACAGCUGAGUAAAGACACUGCUGUCUCUGGCCAAACUGCCACAGCUGCCCACAGAAACUAACUGUGGCAGUCUCUGCUGCCACUAGAAAACAUUCUCCACUGUUGCCGCUGCUUUGCAUCACUAGCUCCAGAUUCAAAAUCCCAUCUGGUUGUGUCUGAUUGCCCAAACCUAGGCCACAGGUCCAUGCCUUUGUUCCUAUGUUUCCAGAGAAGUCAAGUAUCUGGCCUUUUCAACUUCCGUAGGUGAGAAGCAACACCCACCUCCAACUACGACUUGUGCUGUGGAGCAUUCUGCAAAUCAAAGAGUCAAACCCCAGUGUAACACACUUGAGUUUCAGCCACAGAAAGAAAGCUGUCCCCUUGAAUAACCCAUUCACCUCCUGGUUCUAAUCGUUUUUUUUACUAUUAUAUUCCAUGCACUGUCCUGGACAUGGAUAUGUGCUAUGUACUAAUGAUGUAAAUAUUAAGAAUACAGGCCAGGCGCGGUGGCUCACACCUGUAAUCCCAGCACUUUGGGAGGCCAAGGCAGGCGAAUCACCUGAGGUUGGCGAAUCACCUGAGGUUGGGAGUUCAAAACCAGCCCGACCAACAUGGAGAAACCCCAUCUCUACUAAAAAUACAAAAUUAGCCAGGUGCAGUGGCGCAUGCCUGUAAUCCCAGCUACUCAGGAGGCUGAGGCAGGAGAAUCACUUGAAACUGGGAGGCGGAGGUUGCAGUGAGCCAAGAUUGCGCCGUUGUACUCUAGCCUAAGCAACAGGAGCGAAAUAAAUAUAAAUUUAUUCUCAAAAAAUAAAAAAAUAAGAAUACAA